CUCAUAAUUUAUUUCCAUGCAUCUUUGCUUUGGAUCCUAGCUUUAUUGGUGAACAUUUAUGCCUUUCUAUAGCAAUCUGGGUUUUCUUAGCCAAUUGAAAUGGGCAUUUAUUAGAUCAUUUAAGCAUCAUAUCAAUAUAGUAUAUUUGGCGACUUUAUGAUAAGUUCUUAUGAUAGAUGUUCAAAACUCUGCUCAGGUGACAUUUUUAUGGAUCCACAUAGUUUUUGUCAUAUAUGAAAAGAAAGCAUUGAGUUGUGCAGAUGGUUAAAUGUGCAUUGAGUUAUUUCUCUGGAAUUUGCAUGAGAAUGGACCGACUUGUAGUUGUAUUAACUUUUCUAGUGCCCAGGUUAGAAAGUUUGAUCUGUGUAGUUUUUAAAGGCAGCAUCCAAAUCACUUAUAUUCAGAAGAAAAUGGUAACAGAUUUAGAAGCUGUCUAUAUUUUCCCCAUUAUCCAUAAUACAUAUUAUUGGCAAUAUGGUUUUCACUCUUUGUUGUUAACGUAUCAACAAUGUGCAAUAGCCACUAAUAAUCAUUUGUUAAUGCAUGCUUCCAAGUUCUGUAUUUGAAAAUCUCAGACUUCAUAUAUGGUAAGUGAUGGAGUAAUUUAUAACUUUUAUGUUGAAUUCUUGCUACUUUAAAAAAUUGUGCUUCUCCUUUUUUAAGGCAUAUGACUUACUUAACAGCUGAUAGUCAGUUACCUGGAUUUUUAGUAUUUUUUUACAUCACAAAAAGAUUUCUCUGAAGUUUGCGCAGGGGUCUAUUUGUAGGCAGUUUCCAACUUACUAAUAAGUAAGGUUCUGAAAGUUAUAAGUUAGCUGUCUGGAAUAGAUAGUCUCAUAGAAACCAGGUUGUAGAUGGUGAUUUGGUUCCUUGGGCAACCUACUGAAACCCAUUUACUAUAUAAUGUGGCUGAAUAAUAUUAUUGAUAGUGCUAUAGUAUUUAGCAACUGUCUGUCAAGUGAUUUUGAACUCUCAUUUUGAAAUCUAACUUUCAUAGCAUUAUUCUGAUGAAUUUUUGGUAGUGCGAUUUGACUUUUUCUACCUCCAUUCUACCAGUUCACAGUGCAUUCUAGCAGUGGAAAUCAAAAAACCUAUUGAGAUGGAAUUUGGGAGGAAAGGAGGACUUACUGAUAUCCCUAGCUGUAGAAAGAAAGUAACUGGGUAUCCUGUCUGAAAGAGGAAGGAUGUGAUGAUCUUCAUGGCUCUGUUGUGGAGAUGUAUGUCUGCUUAUACAUGGCAGGCAACCAAUUGGAGGUUUAUAUAUUUUAAAAAUAAAGAAGGGGCGGCCGGGCGCCGUGGCUCACGCCUGUAAUCCCAACACUUUGGGAGGCCGAGGCGGGCAGAUCACGGGGUCAGGAGAUCGAGACCAUCCUGGCUAACACGGUGAAACCCUGUCUCCACUAAAAAUACAAAAAAUUAGCCGGGCAUGGUAGCGGGCGCCUGUAAUCCCAGCUACUCAGGAGGCGGAGGCAGGAGAAUGGCGCGAACCCGGGAGGCGGAGCUUGCAGUGAGCCGAGAUGGCUCCACUGCACUCCAGCCUGGGCGACACAGCGAGACUCCGUCUCAAAAAAAAAAAAAAAAAAAAAAGAAGGAGCAUUUUAUAAUUUUACACUGAUUAGCCAAAGGAUGGAGAAACCCAAUACUUCUGCUCGUUCAACAUGCCUCACAGUAUAUUCCAAGUAUUUUCAUUGUAUAUCUUCUACUUACUCUACCACCCUAUGCCCCACAAUUUGGACUCUUGGUUUUUAAAUGGUAGUACAGGUAAGAGUAGUUAAGUUUCUAAUACCAGAAUAGUUUUGAAAUAUAUUAUUGUUAUUAUCAUCAUCAUGUAGAGACAGCAUCUCAUUCUGUCACGUGGGCUGAAGUGCAGUGGUGUAAUCAUAGCUUGCACUGCAGCCUUGAACUCCUAGGCUCAAGGGUUUCUUAAGCCUUAGUCUUAAUAUACAGCUUUAUAAGUGUGCAUUACUGUUCACAGCUAACUUUAAAAUUGUUUUUUGUAAAGACAGGAUCUUACUAUGUUGAUCAGACUGGCCUUGAACCCCUGGGUUCAAGGGAUCCUCCUGCCUUGGUCUCCCAG
Molecule: long non-coding RNA, 2077 nt
Filed under: Homo sapiens (human)
Lineage: Eukaryota; Metazoa; Chordata; Mammalia; Primates; Hominidae
Description: non-protein coding lnc-PLEKHA7-4:1
Source: RNAcentral